Long non-coding RNA from Quercus robur (English oak), 580 nucleotides. RefSeq lists it as uncharacterized. The record is from RefSeq and is a predicted model, not a curated record. The transcript has 2 exons. Lineage: Eukaryota; Viridiplantae; Streptophyta; Magnoliopsida; Fagales; Fagaceae.
CUCUCAAACACUCCUCUCACUCCCUCACUCUCCCACCGGUGCCACUCUAUACCACCAUUUCCACUAUAAUUUUUCCAGCAAGAUCACCGAAAAAUCCUUAAGAACCUCUAAGCACCUUCACAUCUUUUAUUUAAGGUCAGUGCCCUUUCACUUUGAAUGACGCGUUUUUCACUGUUGCCCAUGGGGGGAAGAGGUUUCUUGAUUGUGUAUGAGUGAGGCUGUUGCCCAUCGGGCCAAAAGCCACAUGCAAAAGAGGUCUUAUUUGACGUGUUCUCCCUACUACCCAUUAGAGGAGAGACAAAACCUUGAGGGUAUGGGUAAGGCUACUGCCCAUGGGGUCAAGAGACUGCAUACCAGAGAGGACAAUAUCAUGCCAGUUAUGCAUGGAUGGAUCCCCUGACUAGUCUAUGUGGUAGUUUGGUAUAUUUGUGAUAAUUUGCCUUAUGUUAGAUUUUAUGGCUUCAAAAAUUAUAUUGUCAGUGCUCACAAAUUAUAGUAUAUAGUUUCAGGGUAUUUACUUUGAGAAACUUUGUAUUUCAUUAUUCAAUCAUUCUUGUCAUAUUAUUAUUAUUCAAAAUAA